This 330-nucleotide unclassified non-coding RNA is filed under the name soil metagenome. RNAcentral describes it as "partial contains 5.8S ribosomal RNA, internal transcribed spacer 2, and large subunit ribosomal RNA". The stretch from base 1 to 120 matches the Rfam family "5.8S ribosomal RNA", at positions 35 to 154 of the family's 154-position model. The record is from RNAcentral.
GAUGAAGAACGCAGCGAAAUGCGAUACGUAAUGUGAAUUGCAGAUUUCAGUGAAUCAUCGAAUCUUUGAACGCACAUUGCGCCCGCUAGUAUUCUGGCGGGCAUGCCUGUUCGAGCGUCAUUUCAACCAUCAAGCCCUAGGCUUGCGUUGGAGCCCUGCGGCUGCCGCAGGCUCCCAAAUCCAGUGGCGGGCUCGUCGUCGUACCGAGUGCAGUAAACAUCCUCGCUCAGGGAACGUGACGGGUUCUUGCCGUGAAACCCCCCACAUAUCAAGGUUGACCUCGGAUCAGGUAGGAAUACCCGCUGAACUUAAGCAUAUCAAUGCGGAGGA